This 7466-nucleotide long non-coding RNA is filed under the name Gallus gallus (chicken). RNAcentral's name for it is "lncRNA (ENSGALG00010027827.1)". Lineage: Eukaryota; Metazoa; Chordata; Aves; Galliformes; Phasianidae. The record is from RNAcentral.
CAAUGCAGGAAUGAAGGCGCUGCCCCGCAUAUGUAGGGCUGCACCCUGCGUGCAUUGCUCUACGGGUGACACAAGGGAGUAUUAGGGAUAUAAUUAAUGCUGUUUAUAAGUUACUUAAUGGGGGUCAGGGGAUGGGAGGAAAAGGUGUGGGGGUUUGGGUAUCAUACAGAUUAGGAAACAAAUAGCAUCUCCUGACAAUUGGGAUGAGAUAUCUGGAGAUCCUGACUGUAGUCAUCCAGAAGAGGAUGACUACAGUCAUCCUUUCUUUUUUAUUAACACAAACCCAGAUCUGCUGGUGAAACAGAAAUGACCGUAAGACCCUGGGGAAGUCAGCAUAGUCGUGAUGUUCCAUUAGCUGCUCCACAGGCCUCACACCACCAAUUAGAGGAGUCCCAACAAUCCUUAAAACCCACUGAGCUGCAAACUGAGAUCAGAAGAGAGGACAUAAUUUAAAACAUGAUAAUGAUGCCCAGCAUGCCCUUAAACAACUCUGCGUGGGUGCAAUUAACACAUGGCACUGUGAAUUACAGCCAUGAGAUGGGAUGAUGGGGGAGAAGACAAACCACAUUUGGAGCCGAGGUUGGAGAUCAUGAGGUGAAAACCAUGAAAGAGGAAACAGCGGCUCAAUCAGAAAGAAAUGGGCUUAAAAAGGGCUGCAAACAGGACCUGCAGAAUGCAGAACCCCUGAACGGAAUAGGGUAUUAACUGUCACCGUGUCCAGAACUGCAGCGCUCAGUCAGCCAAUCAGCAUCAUUAGGGCUCAUUGAAGCAAUCCAGAAGCAAGGGAACUGUGAAAGGAAGGAAUGGGUGUCAGUCCAUCCAUCAACUGCUCAGAGAACAGGAGAGAACCCCUUCAUCUCCCUUAGGACAAGACUGAAGGCACCGUAGGGACACACACAGCAGAUACAGCUGCUCUAAUCCAGCUCAGGAUCUCCCCGGAAAGACAUGGCUCACAGCUCUACAAUAAAGCAGGAAUCCCUCACCCCAUUUAAGGGCUUCCCCCCACACCCCAAAGGAAGCAGUCUCCAAGUUCAGAUACAGGCCUGAAAGCUACCAGUUCUUACAUGGGGUCAAGAUCUCCCCAAAAGAGGAGCUCAGAGCCCUGAAAUUCAGAAAGAACCACUUACCCCAUUCCAAGGACCAAUACUCACUCGCUCCCCCAAAGAAGCAGUUUCCAGGUACAGAUGGCCGCCAGCCCCAAAAUGCAGCUAUGAACCCCCAGCAAAGGGAUAGAUCACAGCCCUCCAAUACAGAAGAACUCACCCCCACACCCUCAAGGAAGCACAGCCAGACUCAGAUGCUGCCCCCUUUGCUUCCCAGCCCUUAAAUGCGGUCAGGGAGGGGAGGAGCCCGUCUCAGCCCCACCCCACAGCCAAAUUGCCAUCAGCUGUGCUCGCAGGGCUGCACCUCCCCAGGUGAAUGGGAGCUGCUGAGUCAUGGCCUGAACCACUGAUUGAUUGGCUGAGGCAGAACUUAGUCAGCUGUGGGAGCACAGGUGGAGUCAAUCCAGUGUGAAUAGAAGGUGGAGCCUGGCUGCAGCUCUCCAAGAUAGCAUUUAAGGGCUGACUACCCCCAGGAAAGGGUCUUUAUUGUAACUUUGGGAUGUUUGUUUUCAGGAUUCACUAUCAGAGCAUCUUAUAAGGCAAUAAGAGUUCAAGAGUCUACAUCGUGGAUGAGUGUGCUGCUUCCCUGAGCACUUCGGAUCCUCAAAAAAGGAAAAAGGAGCAACAUUCCUGGAGGAGCUGGCAAAAAAAGGUAGGCAUUUUGAUUACUUACAUACACAUGGAUAAUAUAGAUAUUUCAGGUUGACUGAUUGCAUCACUACAAAAUCAUGCAUUUUCUUUCAAAAAAAUCCACAUAUACCAGAAAAACAUCCAUUUUCUCUCUGAAAAUCCCCCGUUUACUCAACUAGCAUGCAUUUUCUCUUAGAAAAUACCCCAUCUACCCAAAUGACAAGCAUUCUGAUUACAAAAUCCGAAACUAAAAAAGAAAAUCAUCACUUUCUCAAUGAAAAUUCCACAUUAAAGCAAAAAUCAUGCAUUUCAUCUUCAAAAAUUCUCCAUUUAACCCGAAUGUCAUCAAAUGGCUCUAUGAAAAUUUCAAAUAAAACAUAACAUCAUGCAUUUUCACUUUGAGAACCACCCAAUUAAAGCAAAAAUAAGGCAAUGACUUCACAAAUCCCCCAUUUAGGCAUAAGUCACGCGUUUUCUCUCCAGAAUCCUCCAUUUAACCCGAAAAUCACGCGUUUUCUCUUCGAGAAUCCCCCAUUUAACCGAAAAUCACGCGUUUUCUCUUCGCAAAUCCCCCAUUUAACUCAAAAUUCACGCGUUUUCUCUUCGGAAAUCCCCCAUUUAACCCGAAAAUCACGCGUUUUCUCUUGGAGAAUCUUCCAUUUAACCCGAAAAUCACUCAUAUCCUCUGCGCAAAUCCCCCAUUUAACUCGAAAAUGACGCGUUUUCUCUUUGCAAAUCCCCCAUUUAAGCGAAAAUCACGCGUUUUCUCUUCACAAAUCCCACAUUUAACCCGAAAAUCACGCGUUUUCUCUUCGCAAAUCCCCUUUUAACCGGAAAAUCACGCGUUUUCUCUUCGCAAAUCCACCACUUCACCCGAAAAACACGCGUUUUCUCUUCGAGAAUCCCCCAUUUAACCCAAAAAUCACGCGUUUUCUCUUCGCAAAUCCCCCAUUUAACUCAAAAAUCAUGCGUUCUCUCUUCGCAAAUCCCCCAUUUAAGUGAAAAUCAUAUGUUUUCUCUUUGGAAAUCCCCAAUUUAACAGAAAAUCAUGCGUUUUCUCUUCGAGAACCCCCCAUUUAAGCGAAAAUCCCGCGUUUUCUGUUCAAGAAUCCCCCAUUUAAGCGAAAAUCACGCGUUUUCUGUUCAAGAAUCCUCCAUUUAACCCGAAAAUCACGCGUUUUCUCUUGUAAAAUCCCCCAUUUAAGCGAAAAUCACGUUUUCUCUUCGAGAAUCCCCCAUUUAAGUGAAAAUCAUGUGUUUUCUUUUCGCAAAUCCCCCAUUUAAGCAAAAAUCACGCAUUUUCUCUUCGAGAAUCCCCCAUUUAACCGAAAAUCACGCAUUUUCUCUUCGAGAAUCCCCCAUUUAACCCGAAAAUCACGCGUUUUCUCUUCCCAAAUCCCCCAUUUAAGCGAAAAUCACGCGUUUUCUCCUCACAAAUCCCCCAUUUAACCCGAAAAUCACGCGUUUUCUCUUCGCAAAUCCCCCUUUUAACGAAAAUCACGCGUUUUCUCUUCGGAAAUCGCCCAUUGAAGCAAAAAUCACGCAUUUUCUCUUCGAGAAUCCCCCAUUUAACCCGAAAAUCACGCAUUUUCUCUUCAAGAAUCCCUCAUUUAACCCGAAUAUCAUACGCUUUCUCUUCAGAAAUCUUCCAUUUAACCCGAAAAUCACUCGUUUUCUCUUCAAGAAUCCCCCAUUUAAGCGAAAAUCACAAGUUUUCUCUUCGCAAAUCCCCCAUUUAACUCGAAAAUGACGCAUUUUCUCUUCGCAAAUCCCCCAUAUAGGCGAAAAUCACGCGUUUUCUCUUCGCAAAUCCCCCAUUUAACUCGAAAAUCACGCAUAUCCUCUUCGCAAAUCCCCCAUUUAACCCGAAAAUCACGCGUUUUCUCUUGGAGAAUCUUCCAUUUAACCCGAAAAUCACUCAUAUCCUCUGCGCAAAUCCCCCAUUUAACUCGAAAGUGACGCGUUUUCUCUUUGCAAAUCCCCCAUUUAAGCGAAAAUCACGCGUUUUCUCUUUGCAAAUCCCCCAUUUAAGCGAAAAUCACGCGUUUUCUCUUCGCAAAUCCCCCAUUUAACUCAAAAAAUGACGCGUUUUCUCUUCACAAAUCCCCCAUUUAACCAAUAAUCACGUGUUUUCUCUUCGAGAAUCCCUUUUCUAACCCGAAAAUCACGCAUUUUCUCUUCGAGAAUCCCCCAUUUAACCCGAAAUCACUCGUUUUCUCUUCGAGAAUCCCCCUUUUAACCUGAAAAUCACACGUCUUCUCUUCGGAAAUUGCCCAUUUAAGCGAAAAUCACGCAUAUUCUUUUUGAGAGUCCCCCUUUUAACCUGAAAAUCACACGUUUUCUCUUCCCAAAUCCCCCAUUUAAGCCGAAAAUCACGCGUUUUCUCUUCGCAAAACCCCCAUUUAACCCGAAAAUCACGCGUUUUCUCUUCCCAAAUCCCCCAUUUAAGCGAAAAUCAUGCGUUUUCUCUUCGCAAAUCCCACAUUUAACCCGAAAAUGACGCAUUUUCUCUUCACAAAUCCCCCAUUUAAGCGAAAAUCACGCAUUUUCUCUUCGCAAAUCCUCCAUCUAAGCAAAAAUCACGCAUUUUUUCUUCGAGAAUCCCCCAUUUAACCCGAAAAUCACGCGUUUUCUCUUCGAGAUUCCCCCAUUUAAGUGAAAAUCAUGUGUUUUCACUUUGCAAAUCCACCUUUUAACUCGAAAAUCACGUUUUCUUUUUGAGAAUCCCCCAUUUAACCCGAAAAUCACGCGUUUUCUCUUCGCUAAUACCCCAUUUAACUAAAAAACACGUGUUUUCUCUUCGAGAAUCCCCCAUUUAACUCAAAAUUCACGCGUUUUCUCUUGGAGAAUCUUCCAUUUAACCCGAAUAUCAUACGCUUUCUCUUCAGAAAUCUUCCAUUUAACCCGAAAAUCACUCGUUUUGUCUUCAAGAAUCCCCCAUUUAAGCGAAAAUCACGCGUUUUCUCUUCGCAAAUCCCCCAUUUAACUCGAAAAUGACGCGUUUUCUCUUUGCAAAUCCCCCAUAUAGGCGAAAAUCACGCUUUUUCUCUUCGCAAAUCCCCCAUUUAACUCGAAAAUGACGCAUUUUCUCUUCGCAAAUCCCCCAUAUAGGCGAAAAUCACGCGUUUUCUCUUCGCAAAUCCCCCAUUUAACUCGAAAAUCACGCAUAUCCUCUUCGCAAAUCCCCCAUUUAACUCGAAAAUCACGCGUUUUCUCUUGGAGAAUCUUCCAUUUAACCUGAAAAUCACUCAUAUCCUCUGCGCAAAUCCCCCAUUUAACCCGAAAAUGACGCGUUUUCUCUUUGCAAAUCCCCCAUUUAAGCCGAAAAUCACGCGUUUUCUCUUCGCAAAUCCCCCAUUUAACUCGAAAAUCACGCAUAUCCUCUUCGCAAAUCCCGCAUUUAACCCGAAAAUCACGCGCUUUCUCUUGGAGAAUCUUCCAUUUAACCCGAAAAUCACUCAUAUCCUCUGCACAAAUCCCCCAUUUAACUCGAAAAUGACACGUUUUCUCUAUGCAAAUCCCCCAUUUAAGCGAAAAUCACGCGUUUUCUCUUCGCAAAUCCCCCAUUUAACUCGAAAAUCACUCAUAUCCUCCUCGCAAAUCCGCCAUUUAACCCGAAAAUCACGCAUUUUCUCUUCGGAAACCCCCCAUUUAACCAAAAAUCAUGUGUUUUCUCUUCGAGAAUCCCUUUUCUAACCCGAAAAUCACGCAUUUUCUCUUCGAGAAUCCCCCAUUUAACCCGAAAUCACUCGUUUUCUCUUCGAGAAUCCCCCUUUUAACCUGAAAAUCACACGUCUUCUCUUCGGAAAUUGCCCAUUUAAGCGAAAAUCACGCAUAUUCUUUUUGAGAGUCCCCCAUUUAACCCGAAAAUCACGCGUUUUCUCUUCCCAAAUCCCCCAUUUAAGCGAAAAUCACGCGUUUUCUCUUCGCAAAUCCCACAUUUAACCCGAAAAUGACGCAUUUUCUCUUCACAAAUCCCCCAUUUAACCCGAAAAUCACGCGUUUUCUCUUCGCAAAUCCUCCAUCUAAGCAAAAAUCACGCAUUUUCUCUUCGAGAAUCCCCCAUUUAACCCGAAAAUCAUGUGUUUUCACUUUGCAAAUCCACCUUUUAACUCGAAAAUCACGUUUUCUUUUUGAGAAUCCCCCAUUUAAGCGAAAAUCACGCGUUUUCUCUUCGCUAAUACCCCAUUUAACUAAAAAUCACGUGUUUUCUCUUCGAGAAUCCCCCAUUUAACCCGAAGAUCAUACGCUUUCUCUUCAGAAAUCUUCCAUUUAACCCGAAAAUCACUCGUUUUCUCUUCAAGAAUCCCCCAUUUAAGCGAAAAUCACGCGUUUUCUCUUCGCAAAUCCCCCAUUUAACUCGAAAAUGACGCGUUUUCUCUUUGCAAAUCCCUCAUGUAGGCGAAAAUCACGCUUUUUCUCUUCGCAAAUCCCCCAUUUAACUCGAAAAUGACGCAUUUUCUCUUCGCAAAUCCCCCAUAUAGGCGAAAAUCACGCGUUUUCUCUUCGCAAAUCCCCCAUUUAACUCGAAAAUCACGCAUAUCCUCUUCGCAAAUCCCCCAUUUAACCCGAAAAUCACGCGUUUUCUCUUGGAGAAUCUUCCAUUUAACCCGAAAAUCACUCAUAUCCUCUGCGCAAAUCCCCCAUUUGACUCGAAAAUGACACGUUUUCUCUUUGCAAAUCCCCCAUUUAAGCGAAAAUCACGCGUUUUCUCUGCGCAAAUCCCCCAUUUAACCUGAAAAUCACGUGUUUUCUCUUCGCAAAUCCCCCAUUUAAGCGAAAAUCACGUGUUUUCACUUCGCAAAUCUUCCAUUUAACCCGAAAAUCACGCAUUUUGUCUUCACAAAUCCCCCUUUUAACCCGAAAAUCUCGUGUUUUCCCUUCGCAAAUCUUUCAUUUUACCCGGAAAUCACGCAUUUUCUCUUCGGAAAUCCCCCUUUUAUCUCGAAAAUCACGCGUUUUCUCUUCGCAAAUCCCCCAUUUAACCCGAAAAUCACGCGCUUUCUCUUCGCAAAUCCCCCAUUUAAGCGAAAAUCACGCGUUUUCUCUUUGAAAAUCCCCCGUUUAACCGAAAAUCACGCGUUUUCUCUUUGAGAAUCCCCCAUUUAACCCAAAAAUCAUGCGUUUUCUCUUCGCAAAUCCUCCAUCUAAGCAAAAAUCACGUGUUUUCUCUUCGAGAAUCCCCCAUUUAACCCGAAAAUGAUGCGUUUUCUCUUCCAGAAUCCCCCUUUUAACUCGAAAAAGACACAUAUCCAAUUCGGAAAUCACCCAUUUGAGCGAAAAUCACGCAUUUUCUCUUCGAGAAUCCCCCAUUUAACCAAAAAUCACGUGUUUUCUCUUCGCAAAUCCCCCAUUUAAGCGAAAAUCACACGUUUUCUCUUCGAGAAUCCUCCAUUUAUCCCGAAAAUCACGCAUUUAAUCUUUGCAAAUCCCACUUUUAAGCGAAAAUCACGCAUUUUCUCUUCGGAAAUUUCACAUUUAAUUGAAAAUCACGUAUUUUCUCUUCGAGAAUCCCCCAUUUAACCCAAAAAUCAUGUGUUUUCUCUUCAGAAAUCUUCCAUUUAACCCGAAAAUCACUCGUUUUCUCUUCGAGAAUCCACCAUUUAACCCGAAAAUCACGCGCUUUCUCUUCGCAAAUCCCCCUUUUAACCUGGAAAUCACGCAUGUCCUCUUUGCAAAUCCCCCAUUUAACUCGAAAAUCACGCGUUUUCUCUUUGAAAAUCCCCCAUUUAG